Molecule: ribosomal RNA, 875 nt
Filed under: Compsocus elegans
Lineage: Eukaryota; Metazoa; Arthropoda; Insecta; Psocodea; Compsocidae
Description: SSU rRNA
Rfam family: Eukaryotic small subunit ribosomal RNA
Source: RNAcentral
GUAGUGACGAAAAAUAACGAUGCAGAACUCUUUCCGAGGCUCUGCAAUCGGAAUGAGCACACUCUAAAUCAUUUAACGAGUAUCCAUUGGAGGGCAAGUCUGGUGCCAGCAGCCGCGGUAAUUCCAGCUCCAAUAGCGUAUAUUAAAGUUGUUGCGGUUAAAAAGCUCGUAGUUGGAUCUGUGUUCCACGCUGUCGGUUCACCGUUUGUCGGUGUUUAACUGACAUGUCGUGGUACGUCCUGCCGGUUGGCGGCGCGUGCCCGCAAGGGUUUCGCGUUCGCCAGUCGAAUCCUGUCGCGGUGCUCUUCACCGAGUGUCGAGGCGGGCCGGCACGUUUACUUUGAACAAAUUUGAGUGCUUAAAGCAGGCUAUUACGCCCGAAAACUGUGUGCAUGGAAUAAUGGAAUAGGACCGCGGUUCUAUUUUGUUGGUUUUCGGAGUCCGAGGUAAUGAUUAAUAGGGACAGGCGGGGGCAUUAGUAUUGCGACGUUAGAGGUGAAAUUCUUGGAUCGUCGCAAGACUGACCUAAGCGAAAGCAUUUGCCAAGGAUGCUUCCAUUAAUCAAGAACGAAAGUUAGAGGUUCGAAGGCGAUCAGAUACCGCCCUAGUUCUAACCAUAAACGAUGCCAGCCAGCGAUCCGUCGAAGUUCCUCCGAUGACUCGACGGGCAGCUUCCGGGAAACCAAAGCUUUUAGGUUCCGGGGGAAGUAUGGUUGCAAAACUGAAACUUAAAGGAAUUGACGGAAGGGCACCACCAGGAGUGGAGCCUGCGGCUUAAUUUGACUCAACACGGGAAACCUCACCAGGCCCAGACACUGGAAGGAUUGACAGAUUGAUAGCUCUUUCUUGAUUCAGUGGGUGGUGGUGCAUGGCCG